RNAcentral lists this ribosomal RNA (270 nucleotides) under uncultured prokaryote. RNAcentral's name for it is "partial 16S ribosomal RNA". It matches the Rfam family "Bacterial small subunit ribosomal RNA", at positions 506 to 776 of the family's 1533-position model. The record is from RNAcentral.
UGCCAGAGCCGCGGUAAUACGUAGGUGGCAAGCGUUGUCCGGAAUUAUUGGGCGUAAAGCGCGCGCAGGCGGUCUUUUAAGUCUGAUGUGAAAGCCCCCGGCUCAACCGGGGAGGGUCAUUGGAAACUGGGAGACUUGAGUACAGAAGAGGAGAGUGGAAUUCCACGUGUAGCGGUGAAAUGCGUAGAUAUGUGGAGGAACACCAGUGGCGAAGGCGACUCUCUGGUCUGUAACUGACGCUGAGGCGCGAAAGCGUGGGGAGCAAACAGG